AUUGAACGCUGGCGGCAUGCUUUACACAUGCAAGUCGAACGGUAACAGGUCUUCGGAUGCUGACGAGUGGCGAACGGGUGAGUAAUACAUCGGAACGUGCCUAGUAGUGGGGGAUAACUACUCGAAAGAGUAGCUAAUACCGCAUGAGAUCUACGGAUGAAAGCAGGGGACCUUCGGGCCUUGUGCUACUAGAGCGGCUGAUGGCAGAUUAGGUAGUUGGUGGGGUAAAGGCUUACCAAGCCUGCGAUCUGUAGCUGGUCUGAGAGGACGACCAGCCACACUGGGACUGAGACACGGCCCAGACUCCUACGGGAGGCAGCAGUGGGGAAUUUUGGACAAUGGGCGAAAGCCUGAUCCAGCAAUGCCGCGUGCAGGAUGAAGGCCCUCGGGUUGUAAACUGCUUUUGUACGGAACGAAAAGCCUGGGGCUAAUAUCCCCGGGUCAUGACGGUACCGUAAGAAUAAGGACCGGCUAACUACGUGCCAGCAGCAGCCGCGG
RNAcentral lists this ribosomal RNA (498 nucleotides) under uncultured bacterium. RNAcentral describes it as "partial 16S ribosomal RNA". It matches the Rfam family "Bacterial small subunit ribosomal RNA", at positions 30 to 523 of the family's 1533-position model. The record is from RNAcentral.